CCUACGGGUGGCAGCAGUAGGGGAUAUUGCACAAUGGGGGGAACCCUGAUGCAGCGACGCCGCGUGGGUGAAGGAGUAUUUCGGUAUGUAAAGCCCUAUCGGCAGGGAAGAAAUUGGACGGUACCUGACUAAGAAGCCCCGGCUAACUACGUGCCAGCAGCCGCGGUAAUACGUAGGGGGCAAGCGUUAUCCGGAUUCACUGGGUGUAAAGGGAGCGUAGACGGCCAGGCAAGCCUCGAGUGAAAGCCCGGGGCCCAACCCCGGGACUGCUCUGGAAACUGUCCGGCUGGAGUGCGGGAGAGGCAGGCGGAAUUCCUGGUGUAGCGGUGAAAUGCGUAGAUAUCAGGAGGAACACCGGCGGCGAAGGCAGCUUGCUAAUCCGCAUCUGACGCUGAUGCACGAAAGCGUGGGUAGCGAACAGGAUUAGAUACCCCAGUAGUC
RNAcentral lists this ribosomal RNA (441 nucleotides) under uncultured bacterium. RNAcentral's name for it is "partial 16S ribosomal RNA". It matches the Rfam family "Bacterial small subunit ribosomal RNA", at positions 338 to 795 of the family's 1533-position model. The record is from RNAcentral.